Molecule: ribosomal RNA, 456 nt
Filed under: Megasphaera geminata
Lineage: Bacteria; Bacillati; Bacillota; Negativicutes; Veillonellales; Veillonellaceae
Description: bacterial SSU rRNA
Rfam family: Bacterial small subunit ribosomal RNA
Source: RNAcentral
GACGAACGCGCGGCGUGCGUAACACAUGCAUGUCGUACGAGAGAGUGAGAGAAGCUUGCUUUUCUUACGAUCGAGUGGCAAACGGGUGAGUAACGCGUAAACAACUGCCCCGCAGAUGGGGACAACAGCUGGAAACGGCUGCUAAUACCGAAUACGCUCCUCUUACCGCAUGGUAAGAGGAAAAAGGGUGGCCUCUGGAACAAGCUACCGCUGUGGGAGGGGUUUGCGUCUGAUUAGCUGGUUGGAGGGGUAACGGCCCACCUAAGGCGAGAUCAGUACCCGGUCUGAGAGGAUGAACGGCCACAUUGGAACUGAGACACGGUCCAGACUCCUACUGGGAGGCAGCAGUGGGGAAUCUUCCGCAAUGGGCGAAAGCCUGACGGAGCAACGCCGCGUGAGUGAAGACGGCCUUCGGGUUGUAAAGCUCUGUUAUAGGGGACGAACGGCCGGGUAGCG